UACGUAGGGUGCAGGCGUUAAUCGGAAUUACUGGGCGUAAAGCGUGCGCAGGCGGUUUCUUAAGUCAGAUGUGAAAGCCCCGGGCUUAACCUGGGAAUGGCAUUUGGGACUGCAAGGCUGGAGUGUGGCAGAGGAGACUGGAAUUCCUGGUGUAGCAGUGAAAUGCGUAGAUAUCAGGAGGAAUACCGAUGGCGAAGGCAGGUCUCUGGGCCACUACUGACGCUGAGAAGCGAAAGCAUGGGGAGCGAACAGG
RNAcentral lists this ribosomal RNA (253 nucleotides) under uncultured bacterium. RNAcentral's name for it is "partial 16S ribosomal RNA". It matches the Rfam family "Bacterial small subunit ribosomal RNA", at positions 524 to 776 of the family's 1533-position model. The record is from RNAcentral.